AAUGAAAAUUAAAAAAUAAAUAAAUAAAGAGAAAGUCGGGUCUUUUGCACCAUGAUCUCAGGGCUUAUUUAUCAUGAGCUGCGCGGUCAGAGCCGUGUGCUUUGGUGCAGGUCGAAGAGGAACAGCACAGGAGCCCACCAGGGACAGCGCAAGUCAGCCAGCUCUCAGUGAGGCUGCCAUGCAGUGCAAGGGGGGGAAAACGUUUCAAACGCUGUGCUGGGGUGACAGGAUAUCUGUAUAGGAAAACGAGCCCUCUUGACAGCUAUGUUAGACAAUUUGCAAAAUUAAUUCAAGGUGGAUGACAAACUUCAAAGUAAAAGCUGAAGUUACUUCCAGAGGGAGAGCUUUCUGUCAUAAUGGGUGUGUCAAAGAUUUCCUAGAGGAGAAACAAAAAGCUUGAGCCAUAAAAGAAAAAAAUAUAAUAGUUUAGACUUCAUUAAAAUCAACAUAUGCUCAUCAAAAGGCAAAUUUAGUAAAUACAAAGGCAAGCCACAGACUGGGAGGAAAAUAUCACAAAACAACGACUUCUAUCUAGAAUAUAUAAAGUAAUAAAAAGAACCCUUUUUACAAUUCAAUAAUAAAAAGACAAUGCUGUUUGAACAUAAGCAAAUCACUGGACAGGCAACCCACAGAGGUACCACCAAUCGGCUGUGAACAGCUGUAGAGUGAGACCACACACACCGCAGACUCCAAGGGAAAAGACAGAUGUGGAGCGGCUGGCGGGCACCGUGGGAAACAGCCCGGGAUCUCCGGAAGGCGGAGCACGCCACGUGUGUUCCCGGGGCACAGUGUGCCAGCUGCCCUGCUCGUAGCAGCCCAGAUGCCAGAAGCACAGGAGUGGAUGGGAAAACAAACGAGGGUCUGGGGCACCACGGGGACAUCUGCACUUCAGUGACUCCGUUCAGGACGCUGCAGGACCACAGAACUGACCUGCAGAGAUGAAGCGGAGCAGCGCUGUCUCGGGUGCCGGUGCCUGACCGCAAAGAGAUUCUACGAUCUCCAUGGCUGCCCCUCCUCGGCUCUCGAGGGUUACAGGAACACUGGGCCAGGACGGGGCUGGCACAUCUCCUCGGCUGUCCCUGGCUCCUGAGUCCCUGCAGCUGCGCCUCUGCCAGCCACCUGGCCACACUGGGAGUUCUGUCUUCACCUUGUCCCGGCCACAGCCCCCUUGGGUCUCGUAGCAUGUUCCAGAGGGAGCUCCGCGACCUCGGGCUCUGACGGAGCACUCUCCAACACCCAGGCCGGGUCUGGGCCCCAAGGCGGGCAGCAAGGCCCCGACGCCACUGGCCCCAGCAGUGCUCUCUGCCCCCAGCCCCCCAGCAGCAGGGACCUGUUUCCUUGGAGAGUUUAUAGGCAGAUGUUGUGAAAAUAACAAUUAUGUGGUUUGGGUGGAUUCCAUCUCUACAGCUAAUCAUAGAAACUAAUUAUAGGUUGUAUUGCUGAGUAAUUUCAGGGGAAAAUCAAACAAUGUUAUUUUCUUACCAAUAAGCCAGUCAACUAUGUUUAAAGUCUUAUUAACCAGUAUGGGGUAUGUUUUAUUCAACAAUCAAUUUUUUAACACAGAGCUGGCAGGUGUCAGCACCCUGCACCUGGCCCCUUGAGGUGUGUGGAUCUGAAGGCCGCAGGACGGCUCCAGCUGGGAGCACCGAUGUGGGCAGGGAAGUGGGGUGGUCCGCUCAGCCCCUCUGGGCAGGCAUGCCUGAGUCCAGUGAGUUAUUUUAAGCACCCAUUGUUCCUUGGGCAGUUGAGAUAGAGGAGGGGGCCCUCAGGGUCCAGAUGGGUCCCUCUGGCAGGUGCCUGUGCCCUGUGGCUGCCCCACCCUCGCCCUCAGAUUCCAGCCAGGUCAGAGCCCCCAGUGACUGCCUAGGGGACGUGGGCCACCUCCUCUGGACCCUCUUGCCAGCUGCAGAUGGGGAUUCUGGAAACUAUGUGGGCCCCACAACCAGUGCCCUGGCCCAGCCCACUGGUACAGACAGACAGCUGACCGGGGCUGGCCAACCGGACGCUGGAUCCUAGGAGCCUGUAAGUCUGAAUGUCUCAUGAAGGUCUCAUGAUGUGGGUGUGACACAUCACAGUGGCCUUUGCUCCUAGUUCCCAGCACAGAGCUCCUGCAAGCCCCGGGCUUUCUUGAGUGUCAGGAGCAUCUUCUGUUGUUCACAGGAGUCCUGAGUUUAUAACAAUGAGAUGACUCAACUGGGGCCCUGGACAGUUUCAACACACAGACCAGGUGGCCACAGGGGAGACACUCAGCCCCCCAUCCCGGACCUCUGAGGACAGGCAGAGGCUGGAGCUGUGCUGCAAAAACUCCUGAGUAACCCUGAAUUUGUAGUUGGCCAGAGGAUGCAUGGGUGGCCUGGAGAUCCCACGCGCAGCUGGGGAAUAAAGUAGGGCAGCCCUGUGGGGCUGAGCCCUGAACCUGUGGGUCAGAGAUGAAUUGUAGGACACCGCUAGUGUCGGACAAUCGUUCAGAGCAUCUUAACUGUGGGGUCCUCAAUGGAGGGCCUCGACCCUUGCCUCCAGGGUCCUGGGGUUCCACAAGUACCCAGUCUCUGCCAAGUGAUGUCCCCCCAUCCCCAUACCUCUGUCUUUCUGGCUAACCCUGUCUCUCUGGCUGUCUGCCGUCUCUCCCCGUCUCUCCCCCAUGUCUCUCUCUGUCUCUCCCUGUUACUCUGGCACUUUCCCAGUGACUUGAAUUAGUCCCCAUUCCUCACAUCCAGGGAAACUUCACCUUGUCCACUGGGAGCUCUGAGUGUGUCUGGACUGGGGGACAUCCUGCCAGCUGCCCUCUGGAGCUCCCGCCCUGUGUCCUGUCCUGGGCAGGUCGCUACAGAGAGUUGGGUAGAAAGGCUCAGUCCCCACAGGCGUGGGGACCUGGUGUGGCCCCAAGGAAUAUCCAGGAUGCAGAGAUGUGUCCAACCAACUGGCCUCUGCUGACACACCUCCUGGGAAAUGUCCCUCCAGGCUUCCAGAGACAGUGACACACUGAGUUAGCUGGGUAGCCCCGGAGAAAGCCAUUGGGAGUUGCUGAACAUGC
This is a long non-coding RNA of Manis javanica (Malayan pangolin), 3034 nucleotides long. RefSeq lists it as uncharacterized. NCBI's taxonomy places the organism in Eukaryota, Metazoa, Chordata, Mammalia, Pholidota, Manidae. The record is from RefSeq and is a predicted model, not a curated record.